GUGCUUGUUUCAGCAGAACAUAUACUAAAAUCGAAAAGAUACAGAGAUUAGCGUGGCCCUUUCAGAAAGAUGUCAUGUAAACUUGUGGAGAAUGUCUUUUUUUA
Small nuclear RNA from Phascolarctos cinereus (koala), 104 nucleotides. The record is from Ensembl. Lineage: Eukaryota; Metazoa; Chordata; Mammalia; Diprotodontia; Phascolarctidae.